GAAUCGGUGGUUCAGUGGCAGAAUGCUCGCCUGAAACGCGGGCGGCCCGGGUUCGAUUCCCGUCCGAUGCA
Molecule: transfer RNA, 71 nt
Filed under: Cordylochernes scorpioides
Lineage: Eukaryota; Metazoa; Arthropoda; Arachnida; Pseudoscorpiones; Chernetidae
Description: tRNA-Phe
Rfam family: tRNA
About the family: Transfer RNA (tRNA) molecules are approximately 80 nucleotides in length. Their secondary structure includes four short double-helical elements and three loops (D, anti-codon, and T loops).
Source: RNAcentral